Molecule: ribosomal RNA, 412 nt
Filed under: uncultured eukaryote
Lineage: Eukaryota
Description: SSU rRNA
Rfam family: Eukaryotic small subunit ribosomal RNA
Source: RNAcentral
CAAUAGCGUAUAUUAAAGUUGUUGCGGUUAAAAAGCUCGUAGUUGGAUUUCUGUGGAGGACGGCCGGUCCGCAUUUUGUGCGUGUAUCUGGUACGGCCUUUGCAUCCUCUUGUGGAACGCCACGGUGCUUCGUUGCAUUGUGCGGAAUGCAAGACUUUUACUUUGAGGAAAUUAGAGUGUUCACGGCAGGCAUGCGCCUUGAAUAUAUUAGCAUGGAAUAAUAAUAUAGGCUCCUCGCCCUAUUUUGUUGGUUUCUAGAGCGAAGAGAAUGGUUAAUAGGGAUAAUUGGGGGCACUCGUACUACGGUGUCAGAGGUGGAAUUCUUAGAUUACCGUAUGACGAACUACUGCGAAAGCAUUUGCCAAGGAUGUUUUCAUUGAUCAAGAACGAAAGUUUGGGAUCGAAGACGAUU